GGCGAGGCGGUGAAAGAAAGACGAAGAAAACGAAGUGGUACAGGAAAAACAAAGAAAAUGGGGUGAUGCAUGAAAGACGAAGAAAACGGGGUGAUGCAGGAAAGACGAAGAAAACGAGGUGGUACGGGAAAGACGAAGAAAACGAAGUGGUGCGAGAAAGACGAAGAAAACGAAGUGGUGCAGGGAAGACGAAAAGAAAACGAGGUGUAUGAAAGACGAAGAAAACGAGGUGGUGCAUGAAAAACGAAGAAAACGAAGUGGUACAAGAAAGACGAAGAAAAUGAAGCAGUGCGUGAAAGACAAUGAAAAUUGGGUGGUGCAGGAAAGAAGAAGAAAACGAGGUAGUGCAGGAAACACGAAGAAAACGAGAAAAGUGCAAAGGUCACAGCCAUUCUUACAUUUCUGUGGAUGCCUUACUCGAGUUAUCACUGUUGUCAUUACUCUUAUAGUACUGAAACUGGAUUUUUUUUUUUAUCAUGAUUAGUCUGAUUCUCCGGGAUGUUUUCGUAUUAAUGAUACAAACAUUCCUGUCGCUUAAGUGUCAUUAGAAUCAAGAAAACACCUUUGAAAACUAUCAUUGCUAAAAAUAAUCGAGUUAGGACGCCUUUGUGAUUAAGAAAGUGGCAUAUUCAAGUUGUCUGAAAGCAAAAUUAAGAUCAAGACGCAAAUCCGUACCCCUAUCUCAGCAGGGAAUAUACUCUCAUUACCCAGCCUGUCUCUCCCACACACAGCACUGGGACGCUCACACUGUAACACAUUCGCCUUUCCGCUCCACCACCACACUGCAGCUCCAUUACAUCUCAUCCACUGCAAUUCCACAACACCACGCACCACUGCAACACCACAGUGACGACACCACAGAACAGAACACCGUAAACACUGACACCAAAGACACUACAAAAGUUGAAAGAUAAAUUUUAAAAUAUAACACCACGGCAACUAAAGGAUACCACAAAAUGUUGUUACUUAAACACCAGAAAAUAAAGACAACACCACAAAGGUUACUAAAACACCACUGAAACUCGAUAUAAUAUUAUAAAAAAAGUAACCAAAACCGCACAUAAAUAAAAAAAACAUAAAAGUUAUUUAAUAUUAUUUAAAAAAGUAACCAAAACCGCACAUAAAUAAAAAAAAACGUAAAAGUUAUUUAAACGCCAGAAAAAAAAAAAACAGGACAACUAUUAAAACACCCCAGUAAUUCAAAACAAUACCACGAAAGUUACUAAAACACCAAAGAAAUAACAAGACACCAGAGAGAGAGAGAGAGAGAGAGAGAGAGAGAGAGAGAGAGAGAGAGAGAGAGAGAGAGAGAGAGAGAGAGAGAGAGA
This is a long non-coding RNA of Scylla paramamosain (green mud crab), 1328 nucleotides long. RefSeq lists it as uncharacterized. The transcript is spliced from 2 exons. The record is from RefSeq and is a predicted model, not a curated record. Lineage: Eukaryota; Metazoa; Arthropoda; Malacostraca; Decapoda; Portunidae.